GAAUGCUGUGCAGGAGCGUGGUGCUGCACUUUAAUUCCCUCACCUUGGAGUGGAAAUGGGCUUGAUCUCAGAGCUCCCAUGCAACAGAGGAAAAACCUAUUACAGGAAAGCUAAAAAGAGCAGAGACAGUCUCAGACUUAAGGGGAGAGGCCACUGCUCCACCUGGAUGCAUGCCAUGGAGGGACAUCAUGGGCCAGGAAAGGGUUCUCCUCUCCCAGGACCUUCUCCAGCACUUUGGCCUGGAGAUGAAGUACCCACACGUCAGGAAGGCCUCUAUCUGUGGACAGUGAGGUCUCUGUUUCCAGAAGUUCUGUGAAGAAUACCGUGGUGCACAGGAUCCUGCUCCCUACCAGCAUGGGAGACUUUCAUCUGGAGCACCCAGCCUUGCCCCUGUAGCCCCACUGCAGGCUCCUUGAGAGACUCUUCUUUCUUGCCUCUGCAUCUCCCCAGUGAUCAACCUCAUCUCUCAGUGUAAGUUCAGCUUGCCUCUUCUUCCAGCAAAGCCCACAAUAAAGGAAGCACAAGUAUACA
RNAcentral lists this long non-coding RNA (531 nucleotides) under Chrysolophus pictus (golden pheasant). RNAcentral's name for it is "lncRNA (ENSCPIG00010007565.1)". Lineage: Eukaryota; Metazoa; Chordata; Aves; Galliformes; Phasianidae. The record is from RNAcentral.